This 384-nucleotide ribosomal RNA is filed under the name uncultured bacterium. Its description in RNAcentral is "bacterial SSU rRNA". It matches the Rfam family "Bacterial small subunit ribosomal RNA", at positions 30 to 418 of the family's 1533-position model. The record is from RNAcentral.
AUUGAACGCUGGCGGCAUGCCUUACACAUGCAAGUCGAACGGCAGCGCGGGGCAACCUGGCGGCGAGUGGCGAACGGGUGAGUAAUAUAUCGGAACAUACCCUAGAGUGGGGGAUAACGUAGCGAAGUUACGCUAAUACCGCAUACGCACUAAGGUGGAAAGUGGGGGGAUCUUCGGACCUCAUGCUCAUGGAGUGGCCGAUAUCUGAUUAGCUAGUUGGUGAGGUAAAGGCUCACCAAGGCGACGAUCAGUAGCUGGUUUGAGAGAACGACCAGCCACACUGGAACUGAGACACGGUCCAGACUCCUACGGAGGCAGCAGUGGGAAUUUUGGACAAUGGGGGCAACCCUGAUCCAGCAAUGCCGCGUGAGUGAAGAAGGCCUC